GUGCCAGCCGCCGCGGUAAUACAGAGGUCUCAAGCGUUGUUCGGAUUCAUUGGGCGUAAAGGGUGCGUAGGUGGCUUGUUAAGUUGAAGGUGAAAUCUCGGAGCUCAACUCCGAAACUGCCUUCAAUACUGGCGAGCUCGAGGACUGUAGAGGAGAAUGGGAAUUCACGGUGUAGCAGUGAAAUGCGUAGAUAUCGUGAGGAAGACCAGUGGCGAAGGCGAUUCUCUGGGGCAGUUCCUGACACUGAGGCACGAAGGCCAGGGGAGCAAACGGGAUUAGAUACCCCGGUAGUCCUGGCAGUAAACGGUGCACGUUUGGUGUGGGGGGAUUCGACCCCCUCCGUGCCGGAGCUAACGCGUUAAACGUGCCGCCUGGGAAGUACGGUCGCAAGAUUAAAACUCAAAGAAAUUGACGGGGGCCCGCACAAGCGGUGGAGUAUGUGGCUUAAUUCGAUGCAACGCGAAGAACCUACCUGGCCUUGACAUGUAUCGUGACAAUCUGUGAAAGCAGGUGACUGCCCGCAAGGGUGAU
RNAcentral lists this ribosomal RNA (531 nucleotides) under uncultured Spartobacteria bacterium. RNAcentral describes it as "bacterial SSU rRNA". It matches the Rfam family "Bacterial small subunit ribosomal RNA", at positions 505 to 1030 of the family's 1533-position model. The record is from RNAcentral. Lineage: Bacteria; Pseudomonadati; Verrucomicrobiota; Spartobacteria.